RNAcentral lists this long non-coding RNA (381 nucleotides) under Capra hircus (goat). RNAcentral's name for it is "lncRNA (ENSCHIG00010027103.1)". Lineage: Eukaryota; Metazoa; Chordata; Mammalia; Artiodactyla; Bovidae. The record is from RNAcentral.
UUAGAAGAAAAAAAAUCUGUUUUCUUUGUGUUUGAGUCUCCACAGAACAUCUCCCUGGCAUCCUCCAUCUGGUGACAGUGUUCUUCAGGUCUCUGGGUGGGGUCUCCAUCUCCCAAGGCUAAUGUGGAAGGGUUCCUGCUCUUCUAGGAACCCCAAAGGGCUGUGAGCGGCACCGACUGUCCAGACACCUUCACUUGUGUAUUUCUUCCCCAUUCCCCACAUUUUUAUCAUAAGGCUGUAGGCCUCAAAGAUGCUGAAUAGUAGGAUUUUCAAGGUUCCAUAGCUAUCAGCAGCAAACUGAGUGCGUCGUGGAGUCCUUGUUACACUAAGGAGAGGUCACCAUGCAGGCGUCUGCCUUCAGGGAAGGGGCAGGGAGUGAAU